AACGCACAUUGCACUUUUCGGUAUCACGGGAAGUAUCUCUGUUUUAGAAUCAUUUUAACUCUCCAUACAUUGCUCUUUGACUAAUGCAAACGUUGAGAAGGAUGGUGUUUUCCUUUUGCGAGGAAUUCGCUUGAAUGCAUGGUAUCCCAUGAUGUUGAAUCAUGUUGAUGGACAUUUUACUUGAAGAUUCAGUUCUUGAUAAGUGAAAGUCAAUGUUGAAACGAGUAAGUUAAACUAUGGCUCAUCACGAAGUUGGCUUUAGUAAAAAGUUAAGCACAUGAUCUCAGAUCAGAUAAGGUCACCCGCUGAGCUUAA
RNAcentral lists this unclassified non-coding RNA (315 nucleotides) under uncultured fungus. RNAcentral's name for it is "partial contains 5.8S rRNA and ITS2". Lineage: Eukaryota; Fungi. The record is from RNAcentral.